This 377-nucleotide unclassified non-coding RNA is filed under the name uncultured Pseudomonadota bacterium. RNAcentral's name for it is "uncultured proteobacterium contains 16S-23S intergenic spacer region". The record is from RNAcentral. Lineage: Bacteria; Pseudomonadati; Pseudomonadota.
UCCGGUUUGUCACCGGCAGUUUCUUUAGAGUGCCCAACUGAAUGCUGGCAACUAAAGACGAGGGUUGCGCUCGUUGCGGGACUUAACCCAACAUCUCACGACACGAGCUGACGACAGCCAUGCAGCACCUGUGUUGCGGUUCCCUUUCGGGCACCGAGGUAUCUCUACCCCCUUCCGCACAUGUCAAGGGUAGGUAAGGUUUUUCGCGUUGCAUCGAAUUAAUCCACAUAAUCCACCGCUUGUGCGGGUCCCCGUCAAUUCCUUUGAGUUUUAGCCCUGCGACCGUACUCCCCAGGCGGGAUGCUUAAUGCGUUAGCUGCGCCACCGAAGAGCAAGCUCCCCGACGGCUAGCAUCCAUCGUUUACGGCGUGGACUAC